This 253-nucleotide ribosomal RNA is filed under the name uncultured bacterium. Its description in RNAcentral is "partial 16S ribosomal RNA". It matches the Rfam family "Bacterial small subunit ribosomal RNA", at positions 524 to 776 of the family's 1533-position model. The record is from RNAcentral.
GACGUAGGGCGCGAGCGUUGUCCGGAUUUAUUGGGCGUAAAGAGCUCGUAGGCGGCUUGUCGCGUCGACUGUGAAAUCCCGCGGCUCAACUGCGGGUCUGCAGUCGAUACGGGCAGGCUAGAGUUCGGUAGGGGAGACUGGAAUUCCUGGUGUAGCGGUGAAAUGCGCAGAUAUCAGGAGGAACACCAAUGGCGAAGGCAGAUCUCUGGGCCGUAACUGACGCUGAGGAGCGAAAGCAUGGGGAGCGAACAGG